AGAGUUUGAUCAUGGCUCAGAUUGAACGCUGGCGGCAGGCCUAACACAUGCAAGUCGAGCGGUAGCACAGAGAGCUUGCUCUCGGGUGACGAGCGGCGGACGGGUGAGUAAUGUCUGGGAAACUGCCUGAUGGAGGGGGAUAACUACUGGAAACGGUAGCUAAUACCGCAUAAUGUCGCAAGACCAAAGUGGGGGACCUUCGGGCCUCAUGCCAUCAGAUGUGCCCAGAUGGGAUUAGCUAGUAGGUGGGGUAACGGCUCACCUAGGCGACGAUCCCUAGCUGGUCUGAGAGGAUGACCAGCCACACUGGAACUGAGACACGGUCCAGACUCCUACGGGAGGCAGCAGUGGGGAAUAUUGCACAAUGGGCGCAAGCCUGAUGCAGCCAUGCCGCGUGUGUGAAGAAGGCCUUCGGGUUGUAAAGCACUUUCAGCGGGGAGGAAGGCGGUGAGAUUAAUAACCUCAUCGAUUGACGUUACCCGCAGAAGAAGCACCGGCUAACUCCGUGCCAGCAGCCGCGGUAAUACGGAGGGUGCAAGCGUUAAUCGGAAUUACUGGGCGUAAAGCGCACGCAGGCGGUCUGUCAAGUCGGAUGUGAAAUCCCCGGGCUCAACCUGGGAACUGCAUUCGAAACUGGCAGGCUAGAGUCUUGUAGAGGGGGGUAGAAUUCCAGGUGUAGCGGUGAAAUGCGUAGAGAUCUGGAGGAAUACCGGUGGCGAAGGCGGCCCCCUGGACAAAGACUGACGCUCAGGUGCGAAAGCGUGGGGAGCAAACAGGAUUAGAUACCCUGGUAGUCCACGCCGUAAACGAUGUCGAUUUGGAGGUUGUGCCCUUGAGGCGUGGCUUCCGGAGCUAACGCGUUAAAUCGACCGCCUGGGGAGUACGGCCGCAAGGUUAAAACUCAAAUGAAUUGACGGGGGCCCGCACAAGCGGUGGAGCAUGUGGUUUAAUUCGAUGCAACGCGAAGAACCUUACCUGGUCUUGACAUCCACAGAACUUAGCAGAGAUGCUUUGGUGCCUUCGGGAACUGUGAGACAGGUGCUGCAUGGCUGUCGUCAGCUCGUGUUGUGAAAUGUUGGGUUAAGUCCCGCAACGAGCGCAACCCUUAUCCUUUGUUGCCAGCGGU
RNAcentral lists this ribosomal RNA (1126 nucleotides) under Klebsiella pneumoniae. RNAcentral's name for it is "bacterial SSU rRNA". It matches the Rfam family "Bacterial small subunit ribosomal RNA", at positions 8 to 1125 of the family's 1533-position model. Lineage: Bacteria; Pseudomonadati; Pseudomonadota; Gammaproteobacteria; Enterobacterales; Enterobacteriaceae. The record is from RNAcentral.